Molecule: long non-coding RNA, 2626 nt
Filed under: Podarcis lilfordi (Lilford's wall lizard)
Lineage: Eukaryota; Metazoa; Chordata; Lepidosauria; Squamata; Lacertidae
Source: RNAcentral
GUUCUUAACCACUGUAUAAUGGCAAUGGCGCCCACCUGAGAGGUGCUGCAACUGAGUUCUGAUGAGCUCUGGCUGAAAAAAGCUGUGGUGAUACACAUCCUGCUUCUUUGUCUCGGUUAUACAUGCCAGCCUGGCACAUUCUUUCUGAAUUAUGUCCCAGAUGCUCAACACCUUCCCAUUGGCCACCACUGCAUUCAGAAGAAACAUCUUAGGAUCUGAGGGGACCAUAUUUCAGCCCCAAAUGUUAUCAAAGUUGGAAGACGGUCUGGAAGGAGAGACAAGAUGCAUGUCUGCCUUGCCAUGCAUCUACUUGCUGUGUUUGUCUCCCACCCACCCAUAGUACCUUCUGCCCCCUAUGCAACCCCUAUAACGGCUCCUCUUCAAUUGGUUUAGAUCUUCCCUGUUUUUUGAGAACUCUGCCUGCAAAGACUACAGACGUUUUCCAAUCGCCAUCACUGCAGGCAGAAAAGAGGACUUCAUUUUCCAGAAGCCCAAAGUGAGCAAAUCUUUUUACUGAGAUUUCUUGAGCUCUCCUUGCCAGUAUAAUGGCAGCUGCUGUGCAUUAAGAGUACCGAAUAAGAGGAAACAUUGAUCUAAUCUGAGCGCUGCUUAAGCUUUCACUACUGGCAGGUAGAGCCACCUGUGGGUCGGCACACUUGCACAGCUUGAAAUCUUUAUUGCUCUGCCAUUUGUAACGGGGCUGAGCAUUUUAAGCGUUUAAUCACUGAUAUGCGGUUGGCAAAUGGAGCAGCCAGCUUUUGAUGGCUCGUUUUGCAUGCUUUCAGUGCUUUUGGCGUUGCCGUCUCCGACUUCUAUUCAGACCCAUUUUGGGGACCUCUGUUCUAAAAUGAAAAGUGACAUCAAACUGUUAAGUGUUUCACUCCAGCCUUGAGACAGAGAGAGAGAUAGUCCUGCCAAUGAAGCCCUUGUGGCUGUCAGUGGAACCCAGGCUCAGUUGAUGGAGGGAAGGCUGCCUGCUCAGCAGUAUCUGCUGUGACUUUUCCCCUUUUGGCAGAAGCAGAUUCACACUAGCCAGCUUAAAUUUAUUGGUAGUUGCUAUGUUGCAGGGUGGUAAUGCUCUCCAGUGGGUAUUUGAGGGUCAGAUUGUCCUUAAUGCUGCCUGAAAAGUGCUGAAGAGUUCUAGAGAUUUAGGGUGGUGGAGGGGUAAAGCAGAGCAGCAAGUGUGCUUUUUAAAAAACAAAGCUUUUAACUUAAAAAGAAAACUCUCCUCUGCUCUGCUGUAUCAACAACAUAAACCAUUCAGAGCUCUUAAGUGUUCUGCAGGUAAUAUAUAUAUAGGGUCGUGGGUGGUGCUGUGGUUUAAACCACUGAGCCUCUUGGGCUUGCCGGUCAGAAGGUCAGCUGUUCAAAUCCCCACAUUGGGGUGUGCUCCCGUUGCUCUGUCCCAGCUCCUGCCAACCUAGCAGUUUGAAAGCAUGCCAGUGCAAGUAGAUAAAUAGGUACCGCUGCCGCGGAAAGGUAAACGGCGUUUCUGUGCGCUCUGGCUUCCGUCACGGUGUCCUGUUGCGCCAGAAGUGAUUUAGUCAUGCUGGCCACAUGACCCAGAAAGCUGUCUGUGGACAAACACCAGCUCCCUCGGCCUGAAAGCAAAAUGAGCCCCGCAACCCCAUAGUCGCCUAUGACUGGACUUUACCUUCCAGAGUUCCUUUACUUUUACCUUUACCUAAUAUAUAUAGACAGCCUCAAUACCUGAAAAACCCAUGGACCUGAGACCUGGACAGCAGGGGAACAUUUGGCCCCAUCUGGAAUCCUAAGCAUAUUCAUUUAUUUUAAAGUGUGUAGCUACAAAUACACCCAUACACCCCAAUAUACCUUCCAAGUGCCCCAGGAAAAAAAUGGGACAUCUCGGUGGUCAUUUUGGGUGCCGUGCUCUCAUGCUGGGUCUCCCCACCCCCCAGGCCCGUGCUUUUUUCUGGGUGAAAGCAAGGUGCGUUGGGCUAGAGAUUUUGGAUAUAAUAUACAAUUUGAUGAUUGGGAAAAACUAUGGAAGGAAAACUUAAGAUUUACUGCUUGUACAGCGUUAAAAGAAAAUGUCAUGAAAAUGUUUUACAGAUGGUAUAUCACACCGGUAAAAUUAGCAAAAAUGUAUAAGACCUGUAAUAAGUGCUGGAAAUGUAAAGAAAAAGAAAGAACGUUUUAUCAUAUGUGGUGGGAGUGUAAGAAAGUGAAGGGCUUCUGGGAGAUGAUAUAUAACGAGAUGAAAAAAAUGUUGAAGUAUACAUUUGUUAAGAAACCAGAAGCCCUACUUUUAGGGAUUACAGGAAAGGAAAUAAGAAGGAAGGAUUACAAACUUUUUCAAUACGCAGUUACAGCAGCAAGAAUUCUACUGGCCCAGAAGUGGAAACAAGAGGAAAUACCGACGAAAGAAGAAUGGAGGAUGAAAUUAACAGACUAUGCAGAACUGGACAAGUUAACAGGGAAAGUUAGAUAUCUUCAAGACCAUAAGUUCAUCGAGGACUGGGGGAAAUUCAUGGAAUAUCUGAAAAGUACAUGUGAAGUACAAACAACGCUAGUGGGGUUUAAAGAAGCACUGUAAAAACUGAGGUAUAUUGUUAAAAGAAAAUGGAUGGUUGGAGGGGGGACUAAUGGCAAUAUAGAACAGAAG